UUUAUAGAGAGUUUGAUCCUGGCUCAGGACGAACGCUGGCGGCGUGCUUAACACAUGCAAGUCGAACGGAGCACCCCUGAAGGAGUUUUCG
Molecule: ribosomal RNA, 91 nt
Filed under: Oscillibacter sp.
Lineage: Bacteria; Bacillati; Bacillota; Clostridia; Eubacteriales; Oscillospiraceae
Description: partial 16S ribosomal RNA
Rfam family: Bacterial small subunit ribosomal RNA
Source: RNAcentral